GGCUUCGUGGUUUAGUGGUAUAAUUCUCGCUUAGGGUCACACCCUCAGCUCAUCUGCGAGAGGUCCCGGGUUCGAUCCCCGGCGAAGCCC
This 90-nucleotide transfer RNA is filed under the name Claviceps purpurea (ergot fungus). RNAcentral's name for it is "tRNA-Pro". It matches the Rfam family "tRNA". Rfam says of the family: Transfer RNA (tRNA) molecules are approximately 80 nucleotides in length. Their secondary structure includes four short double-helical elements and three loops (D, anti-codon, and T loops). Lineage: Eukaryota; Fungi; Ascomycota; Sordariomycetes; Hypocreales; Clavicipitaceae. RNAcentral also lists the same sequence under 16 other names. The record is from RNAcentral.